UCGAGAAUUUUUCUCAAUGGGGGAAACCCUGAAGGAGCGACGCCGCGUGAAGGAUGAAGGUCUUCGGAUUGUAAACUUCUGUCAUUUGAGAACAAACUGCACGGAUUAACUGUCUGUGCACUGAUAGUAUCAGAAGAGGAAGAGACGGCUAACUCUGUGCCAGCAGCCGCGGUAAUACAGAGGUCUCGAGCGUUGUUCGGAUUCAUUGGGCGUAAAGGGUGCGUAGGUGGCUAGGUAAGUCGGAUGUGAAAUCCCGGGGCUCAACCCCGGAACUGCAUUCGAUACUGCCUGGCUAGAGUACUGGAGAGGAGAUUGGAAUUUACGGUGUAGCAGUGAAAUGCGUAGAUAUCGUAAGGAAGACCAGUGGCGAAGGCGGAUCUCUGGACAGUUACUGACACUGAGGCACGAAGGCCAGGGGAGCAAACG
This 426-nucleotide ribosomal RNA is filed under the name uncultured Chthoniobacter sp. RNAcentral describes it as "bacterial SSU rRNA". It matches the Rfam family "Bacterial small subunit ribosomal RNA", at positions 355 to 774 of the family's 1533-position model. The record is from RNAcentral. Lineage: Bacteria; Pseudomonadati; Verrucomicrobiota; Spartobacteria; Chthoniobacterales; Chthoniobacteraceae.